This is a non-coding RNA of Oryza nivara, 208 nucleotides long. Lineage: Eukaryota; Viridiplantae; Streptophyta; Magnoliopsida; Poales; Poaceae. The record is from Rfam.
AAUAAAUAUAGUUUUACACUAUUCACGUUCAACGUUUAACCGUUCGUCUUAUUUAAAAUUUUUUUAUGAUUAGUAUUUUUAUUGCUAUUAGAUGAUAAAACAUUAAUAGUACUUUAUGUGUAACUAAAUAUUUUCAAAUUUUUCACAAAAUUUUCAAAUAAGACAGACGGUCAAAUAUUGAGUACGGAUAUCUAUGUCUGUACUUAUU